ACCUCAUGAUUUGGGAAUUGCAUUAUCUUAUGAUUGAACCAUUUCCAAACUUCAUAUGAUGGCUCGCCAUUAAGGUGGAAAAAGUUAGUGAUCUCAUUCCUUAGUU
This is a non-coding RNA of Capsicum annuum, 106 nucleotides long. The record is from Rfam. NCBI's taxonomy places the organism in Eukaryota, Viridiplantae, Streptophyta, Magnoliopsida, Solanales, Solanaceae.